AAUAGAUACCCGGGUAGUCCACGCCGUAAACGGUGGGCACUAGGUGUGGGCGACAUUCCACGUCGUCCGUGCCGCAGCUAACGCAUUAAGUGCCCCGCCUGGGGAGUACGGCCGCAAGGCUAAAACUCAAAGGAAUUGACAGGGGCCCGCACAAGCGGCGGAGCAUGUGGCUUAAUUCGACGCAACGCGAAGAACCUUACCAAGGCUUGACAUACACCGGAAACGUCCAGAGAUGGGCGCCCCCUUGUGGUCGGUGUACAGGUGGUGCAUGGCUGUCGUCAGCUCGUGUCGUGAGAUGUUGGGUUAAGUCCCGCAACGAGCGCAACCCUUGUCCCGUGUUGCCAGCAGGCCCUUGUGGUGCUGGGGACUCACGGGAGACCGCCGGGGUCAACUCGGAGGAAGGUGGGGACGACGUCAAGUCAUCAUGCCCCUUAUGUCUUGGGCUGCACACGUGCUACAAUGGCCGGUACAAUGAGCUGCGAUACCGCGAGGUGGAGCGAAUCUCAAAAAGCCGGUCUCAGUUCGGAUUGGGGUCUG
RNAcentral lists this ribosomal RNA (537 nucleotides) under uncultured bacterium. RNAcentral's name for it is "bacterial SSU rRNA". It matches the Rfam family "Bacterial small subunit ribosomal RNA", at positions 777 to 1307 of the family's 1533-position model. The record is from RNAcentral.